CUGGCUCAGGAUGAACGCUAGCUACAGGCUUAACACAUGCAAGUCGAGGGGCAGCAUGGGAGUUGCUUGCAACUCUGAUGGCGACCGGCGCACGGGUGAGUAACGCGUAUCCAACCUUCCCCUUAGUAGGGCAUAGCCCGUAGAAAUGCGGAUUAAUACCCUAUGUUCUUCGAAGCGGUCAUCCAAUUUGAAGCAAAGAUUCAUCGCUAAGGGAUGGGGAUGCGUCCGAUUAGGUUGUUGGCGGGGUAACGGCCCACCAAGCCAUCGAUCGGUAGGGGUUCUGAGAGGAAGGUCCCCCACAUUGGAACUGAGACACGGUCCAAACUCCUACGGGAGGCAGCAGUGAGGAAUAUUGGUCAAUGGACGAGAGUCUGAACCAGCCAAAAGUAGCGUGCAGGACGACGGCCCUAUGGGUUGUAAACUGCUUUUAUACAGGGAUAAAGUCGGGGACGUGUCCCCGUUUGUAGGUACUGUAUGAAUAAGGACCGGCUAAUUCCGUGCCAGCAGCCGC
This 511-nucleotide ribosomal RNA is filed under the name uncultured bacterium. Its description in RNAcentral is "bacterial SSU rRNA". It matches the Rfam family "Bacterial small subunit ribosomal RNA", at positions 19 to 518 of the family's 1533-position model. The record is from RNAcentral.